This is a long non-coding RNA of Raphanus sativus (radish), 1616 nucleotides long. RefSeq lists it as uncharacterized. The record is from RefSeq and is a predicted model, not a curated record. The transcript is spliced from 2 exons. NCBI's taxonomy places the organism in Eukaryota, Viridiplantae, Streptophyta, Magnoliopsida, Brassicales, Brassicaceae.
UCGAAUCCCAGACGACGCAGCUGUAAUAUCGUCUAUGUAAUAUUUCUAGUUGUUUCUAAUAGCAUAAUAAACCCGACAAAAAAAAAAAUCUUCAAGAAGAAGGCAAAAUAAAAUAAAAAAAUCGCUAGGAAAAUUUCAGAUUUUUUUCCCAAUAAAGUAAAGGGAGCACUAAAGUAAACGUGAUUAGGUAAGACAAUGAAAUCCAACAACACAUAUUAGCUGGCCAUUUUCCUUUAAUUAAUUUAAUCGUUAUCUAUUUUAUGUGUAAAACAACCGCCUCUCAUUAAAAACGCCCCUAAACACGUAACCCACAUAGACCGUUGAUCUUAUAUCUAUUAAUGUGAUCUAGUCCGUCCAAUAGUCCUAACACUGUAUAAAAGUAGCGAAUUGAUCUCUGUAGGUUUUCAUAUACCCGCGUUUGUUAUGAUUCGUUCAACUUUUUCGCUACAUCUCUCGUGUUCGUCGAUGUAUCGAAGUCUCUCCGAUGAAGUUCGUCGCAAAUUCGGCUCUCAGAUCGGCGUCGUAUCCGUAUGUAUCCAGUGGAUCCGGUUUAAAUCACGGCGAGAAGACUGAUCCCAGCGGCUGAUUAAUAUCUCCGACGAUUGGUUGAAGAGCUGAUCUGAUCUCGCAUCAUGACCUCGGCCGCUAACCUCGCCGGAUCUGAGAAUUUCGUUGCGUUUUGAUGAAGGAUUAGAGAAGAGCGAAGAGGAAGAGGAUGGCAGAUAUGUGAAAUUGAAAUUGAGUGAUAGGAUGUAUGAGAUGUUUGUUUAGGGACGAUACAGCCUUUCUGAUGAGAGAGGGCUUGAGUUCUGAAUUAGCAUCUUUGUCAUCCGACCUUUGCCAUGACAGGUGCGCUUGCAUGGCAGGUCACACAAAAUAUCCCUAAUAAAAAAAUAACUGUUUCGUGUUGUUGUGAGGGGAGUUCGCACGGGGAACAUAUUUUUAUAGCCCGGGUUCUCCCCUCACCUCCUUUGUGUCUUUUGCACUCUGCUCUCACUAUCACACUCACACACUCAUAUCUCAAAUCACCAAAAUAUCUCGAUUCACAGACAUAUUUUGAAUUGAUUCGAAUCACUACUAUUGGAUCUGGAGUCGAGUACCUGCAUAACCAAGUUCAACAUACUCCAUGGAGACCAAAAGGUACUUUCAAUUAUUUAUUCGCAUUACUAAUACAUCCAUUGACAUCUAAUCGGCUUUUAUUUGGCUCAUUAUUAAAUCAUCGGUACUACUCAAUCAUUCUCCAAAAAUAUUAUAUCGGCCAAGUAUUCGUAUUAAUUUAUAUCUCCAGACUUAGCAUUGAUCUGAGAAUUUGAAUUAACUUGAGGAAUAGUAGAUAGUUAUUACAUUGUACCAUAUUGUAAGCAUAUCGUACUCUAGGAUUCCUAGAGUUGCAAAUGGCUUUGAAGAGUUCUGAAUGAGAAGUUUGUUUUCGAACCAAGUGUCUGAUGUUUUACUUAUGUUACCCCACGGCUCUUGUAUGUUAUUAACUAAUGUUGUAAACCUUGAAUAGUAUACUACAGUUAUAUUGUUGCACUAAGAUUUUGAAUGUUAACAUCGGAUGUUGUUCUAUAGUAAUUGAUUAUAUACUUUCUAUCUAUAUAUCGUUUUUUCUUAAA